This 138-nucleotide ribosomal RNA is filed under the name Photobacterium chitinilyticum. RNAcentral describes it as "Photobacterium sp. BEI 247 partial 23S ribosomal RNA". It matches the Rfam family "Bacterial large subunit ribosomal RNA", at positions 1 to 130 of the family's 2925-position model. Lineage: Bacteria; Pseudomonadati; Pseudomonadota; Gammaproteobacteria; Vibrionales; Vibrionaceae. The record is from RNAcentral.
GUUGUAUGGUUAAGUGACUAAGCGUACACGGUGGAUGCCUUGGCAGUCAGAGGCGACGAAGGACGUAUUAACUUGCGAUAAGCCCAGUUUAGAUAGUAAAAAUCACUUGAGACUGGGAUUUCCGAAUGGGGAAACCCA